This 254-nucleotide ribosomal RNA is filed under the name uncultured bacterium. RNAcentral describes it as "partial 16S ribosomal RNA". It matches the Rfam family "Bacterial small subunit ribosomal RNA", at positions 524 to 776 of the family's 1533-position model. The record is from RNAcentral.
UACAGAGGGUGCGAGCGUUGUCCGGAAUCACUGGGCGUAAAGGGCGCGUAGGUGGUGGCUUAAGCGUGCGGUGAAAGCUCGGGGCUCAACCCCGAGUCGGCCGUGCGAACUGGGCUCACUGGAGCAUAGUAGAGGCAGGUGGAAUUCCGGGUGUAGCGGUGGAAUGCGUAGAGAUCCGGAAGAACACCGGUGGCGAAGGCGGCCUGCUGGGCUAUGGCUGACACUGAGGCGCGGACAGCGUGGGAGCAAACAGG